Molecule: ribosomal RNA, 501 nt
Filed under: uncultured bacterium
Lineage: Bacteria
Description: partial 16S ribosomal RNA
Rfam family: Bacterial small subunit ribosomal RNA
Source: RNAcentral
AUUGAACGCUGGCGGCAGGCUUAACACAUGCAAGUCGAGCGGGGGAAGGUAGCUUGCUACUGGACCUAGCGGCGGACGGGUGAGUAAUGCUUAGGAAUCUGCCUAUUAGUGGGGGACAACAUCUCGAAAGGGAUGCUAAUACCGCAUACGUCCUACGGGAGAAAGCAGGGGAUCUUCGGACCUUGCGCUAAUAGAUGAGCCUAAGUCGGAUUAGCUAGUUGGUGGGGUAAAGGCCUACCAAGGCGACGAUCUGUAGCGGGUCUGAGAGGAUGAUCCGCCAAACUGGGACUGAGACACGGCCCAGACUCCUACGGGAGGCAGCAGUGGGGAAUAUUGGACAAUGGGGGGAACCCUGAUCCAGCCAUGCCGCGUGUGUGAAGAAGGCCUUAUGGUUGUAAAGCACUUUAAGCGAGGAGGAGGCUACUUUAGUUAAUACCUAGGGAUAGUGGACGUUACUCGCAGAAUAAGCACCGGCUAACUCUGUGCCAGCAGCCGCGGUAA